This 1032-nucleotide long non-coding RNA is filed under the name Anser cygnoides (Swan goose). RNAcentral's name for it is "lncRNA (ENSACDG00005014314.1)". Lineage: Eukaryota; Metazoa; Chordata; Aves; Anseriformes; Anatidae. The record is from RNAcentral.
AUGCCCUGGCAGCAUCAGCAAACCCCCCUCUGCCUGCUGCUGCUGCCGGCGGCGCUGCUCGCACCCGAACCAGGCUUUCAUCUCCUCGCAACCCCAGCUAUCUCAGUUUGUUCCCAUUGCCCUGUUUGCGCGCGUGGCUUCGCCUGUGCAGGCUGCGGGGCUGCUCCUGGGUGCCCUUUCUCCGGGCAUUGCUGCCUGAGGCCACAGGAAGGGCUCAGGAUCCCUUGGCAGCCGUGCCGCCACCGGCACGUCGCAGUGACCAAAACGCAGUGCGGCACGUCUCUGGCGAGAGGUUUUGAGGCUCAGUACCCGAAGCGGGCAGAGCAUCUCCAGCAGGAGCCGGGGGGCAGGUGCGGCAGGAGCAGAUCGAAGCGGAUCCACCUCGGUCCCAUGGAUGAUCCAUCCCCGAGAGGCUGCGAGGCGCUGGCUCGGCCAUGCAGGAUCCGUCCCGUCUGCGGCGCUCCCAGCUCAGAGGCACCAUCUGCUGGGAAACCUCCCAGCCCGGAGCCACAGCUGCUGCGGGGCGCAGGAGCCAGCCGAGACCGGAGGAAGCGCAUCUCCCCCAAAACAGGCUGGUUUUGCCCCAGAGAUCGGGCCAGGAAAGCACCACCCCGCUGCUGGGGCCAGGAGCAGCAGCAGCAUCCGUACAGACCCGGGCUCCCAGCCCCGUGGAGCUCCCCUCCCCAGGCUCGCUCCUGCCAGUUUUCAGGGGGAGCGCUCCCGCGAGCUCCUUUUGCAGCCUUUUGGGUGGUUUUCAGCGGCGGGGGGAGUGCGGGGACCCGAGGAGGCUGCGGUGGGGUCUGCGGGUCCCCUCGAUGUGGUCUCCCCCAUCCGCUGGGGAUUUUGGCACCCCGGUGUGCAUGGCACCCGCUCCUGCCAGCCUCCUUUUUGCUGCGGGUGCACCGCGGGUGCUCCCGGCGGUGCAGGUGGUGGCCAGAGCUCCGUGAGCCCCAGCGCCACCGUGCCCGGGCUGUGGUUAUCCCACCCCGCUGCCCCCAGCCCUGGCUCUCAGCCCUUUCCCGCACGGUGUGA